CUGGAGUAUUGUCGCUGUCGUUGUAGCUGUAAGCGGUAUGCUGUAUGCUGUGGACUGUUUGCUGUUUCCAUGUUUCCUGUUUGCUGGUUCCUGUUCCCUGUCUCCAGUUUGCCUGCUCCUGGUUCCUGACAUCAUGACAUUUUCUUGUGGAAGUCCAAAGACCACCUCUACAGGCACCCAGAUGCAGGCACGGAUAAACCUUCCAAUAACUCCAGCUAUCGUCUGUUAGGUCAGACUGGCCCCCCGUACCUUGCCGUGGUCAGGAUCUCCAGCGGGAAAACAUAAACAGGCCAUAAAUCAGCCACAGGUUGAUCGUUGAGAAAAGGAACAUGCCUCCAACUCUCCCCGCCUCGCUGGACCCUGUAAAUACAUCAAUGACACGGCCUCCUUGUGGAGCAGUCAAGAUGGCACCCUCUUGGCCCUUCUUGAGCUCAUGUUUGCACAGGAUGCCAACACCGUCAGCAUGCUAAAGCUGAUGCUAAGGCUAUUCUGUUUUAUGUAAUGGUAAUGCUUUAUUCCAGACAUGCAACACGUUACAUUAAAGAAUAUUUCCAACAUGCAGAAUUCACUGGGCCAAAAAGGAAUAGGAAGAUGCAUGCAUAGCUUAUUUUAACCAGCUUACUUUUUAUGUUUGUACGUCACAAGGGGAUGAAAAAAUAGUAGACAAUGUUUACAUUCUGUGUACAUUCUGUGUAAAAAUGAUGAAGGAAGGAAAAGUGUUGAAAAAUACAAUAUAAGAACAUAGGAGUAAAAUACUGUUUGUACAAUUAUUAAGGAAGAGGAAAAUAAUAAUUAAAUUAAAAAUGAUGAAGUAGUAAAAGUAGCAAUAACAAAAGUGAUUAA
Long non-coding RNA from Nerophis lumbriciformis (worm pipefish), 843 nucleotides. RefSeq lists it as uncharacterized. The record is from RefSeq and is a predicted model, not a curated record. NCBI's taxonomy places the organism in Eukaryota, Metazoa, Chordata, Actinopteri, Syngnathiformes, Syngnathidae.